AUUGAACGCUGGCGGCAGGCCUAACACAUGCAAGUCGAACGGCAGCACAGAAGAGCUUGCUCUUUGGGUGGCGAGUGGCGGACGGGUGAGUAAUGUCUGGGAAACUGCCCGAUGGAGGGGGAUAACUACUGGAAACGGUAGCUAAUACCGCAUAACGUCGCAAGACCAAAGUGGGGGACCUUCGGGCCUCACACCAUCGGAUGUGCCCAGAUGGGAUUAGCUAGUAGGUGGGGUAAUGGCUCACCUAGGCGACGAUCCCUAGCUGGUCUGAUAGGAUGACCAGGCAGACUGGAACUGAGACACGGUCCAGAUUCCUACGGGAGGCAGCAGUGGGGAAUAUUGCACAAUGGGCGCAAGCCUGAUGCAGCCAUGCCGCGUGUAUGAAGAAGGCCUUCGGGUUGUAAAGUACUUUCAGCGGGGAGGAAGGCGGUGAGGUUAAUAACCUCGCCGAUUGACGUUACCCGCAGAAGAAGCACCGGCUAACUCCGUGCCAGCCGCCGCGGUAA
Molecule: ribosomal RNA, 506 nt
Filed under: uncultured bacterium
Lineage: Bacteria
Description: partial 16S ribosomal RNA
Rfam family: Bacterial small subunit ribosomal RNA
Source: RNAcentral